This 301-nucleotide ribosomal RNA is filed under the name uncultured bacterium. RNAcentral's name for it is "partial 16S ribosomal RNA". It matches the Rfam family "Bacterial small subunit ribosomal RNA", at positions 509 to 807 of the family's 1533-position model. The record is from RNAcentral.
CAGUCGCCACGGGAAUACAGAGGGUGCAAGCGUUAAUCGGAAUUACUGGGCGUAAAGCGCGCGUAGGUGGUUUGUUAAGUUGGAUGUGAAAUCCCCGGGCUCAACCUGGGAACUGCAUCCAAAACUGGCAAGCUAGAGUAUGGUAGAGGGUGGUGGAAUUUCCUGUGUAGCGGUGAAAUGCGUAGAUAUAGGAAGGAACACCAGUGGCGAAGGCGACCACCUGGACUGAUACUGACACUGAGGUGCGAAAGCGUGGGGAGCAAACAGGAUUAGAUACCCCCGUAGUCCCUGUCUCUUAUAC